This 740-nucleotide ribosomal RNA is filed under the name uncultured bacterium. Its description in RNAcentral is "bacterial SSU rRNA". It matches the Rfam family "Bacterial small subunit ribosomal RNA", at positions 49 to 793 of the family's 1533-position model. The record is from RNAcentral.
CUACCAUGCAGUCGAGCGGGAUAUACCGGUUUAGUUUACUAAGCUGGUAAAUUCAGCGGCGGACGGGUGAGUAACGCGUGAGCAAUCUGCCUUGUACAGGGGGAUAACAGCCGGAAACGGCUGCUAAUACCGCAUAAGGCCACAGUACCGCAUGGUACAGGGGUCAAAGGAGAGAUCCGGUAUAAGAUGAGCUCGCGUUCCAUUAGCUGGUUGGUGAGGUAACGGCCCACCAAGGCAACGAUGGGUAGCCGGCCUGAGAGGGUGAACGGCCACAUUGGGACUGAGACACGGCCCAAACUCCUACGGAAGGCAGCAGUGGGGGAUAUUGCGCAAUGGGGGAAACCCUGACGCAGCAACGCCGCGUGAGUGAAGGAGGCCCUCGGGUCGUAAAACUCUGUGACAGGGGAAGAAGAAAGUGACGGUACCCUGAGAGGAAGCCCCGGCUAACUACGUGCCAGCAGCCGCGGUAACACGUAGGGGGCAAGCGUUGUCCGGAAUUACUGGGCGUAAAGGGUGCGUAGGCGGCCGAGCAAGUCCGAUGUGAAAGACCACGGCUAAACUGUGGGGGUGCAUAGGAAACUGUCCGGCUUGAGUGCAGGAGAGGAAAGUGGAAUUCCUAGUGUAGCGGUGAAAUGCGUAGAGAUUAGGAAGAACACCAGUGGCGAAGGCGACUUUCUGGACUGUAACUGACGCUGAGGCACGAAAGCGUGGGGAGCGAACAGGAUUAGAUACCCUGGUAG